GGGAAGUAUGAGUCUACUGGUGGUUCUGGGGCUGGUUUUGCCCACGCGCAGCCAAAAAUCAUCAAAAGCUGGAAGAUUUUUAAAGAAGAAAUUAAAUAAUUAAUUUUUUAUGAUCAAUUGAAUUAAAUAUUAAAAUUUUUAUUUGAAGAGUCAAUGCAGCAAAAAAAAAAGAGCAAAAGUCUAUUGUCUGAAGUGAAAAAUAAGUAAUUAGACUAGCUUCUUCAGCGAGUCGUUGAUAAUUACUUCCUGUAGAAAGCACAGGCACUUAACAAAAAGGAAAAACUCUUGCUUUCAAUUAUAAUAAUUUAUACCAAGGGGAUUUUUUAGAGUAUUAUAUUACAUACGCAAGAGGUCAAGGGUUCGAUUCCCGGCUUAGGUCAAAUGAAUUAAAAAAAUUUUUUUUUUAAUUAUUUUUACUUAUUUA
Cotesia glomerata is the source of this 424-nucleotide long non-coding RNA. RefSeq lists it as uncharacterized. Lineage: Eukaryota; Metazoa; Arthropoda; Insecta; Hymenoptera; Braconidae. The record is from RefSeq and is a predicted model, not a curated record. The transcript is spliced from 4 exons.